GACGAACGCUGGCGGCGUGCUUAACACAUGCAAGUCGAACGAGAAAGCCCUUCGGGGUAAGUACAGUGGCGGACGGGUGAGUAACACGUGGGCAACCUGCCCCGGAGAGCGGGACAACCCGAGGAAACUCGGGCUAACACCGCAUGAUGCGUCUCCACUUAAGUGGAGCCGCCAAAUGGUAGCUUCGGCCUCCGCGCUGGGAUGGGCCCGCGCCGGAUUAGCUAGUUGGUUGGGGUAAUGGCCCACCAAGGCGACGACGGGUAGCCGGCCUGAGAGGGUGACCGGCCACACUGGGACUGAGAUACGGCCCAGACUCCUACGGGAGGCAGCAGUGGGGAAUAUUGCACAAUGGGCGCAAGCCUGAUGCAGCGACGCCGCGUGAGGGAUGACGGCCUUCGGGUUGUAAACCUCUUUCAGCAUCGACGAAGCGAAAGUGGCGGUAGGUGCAGAAGAAGGACCGGCCAACUACGUGCCAGCCGCCGCCGUAA
Molecule: ribosomal RNA, 488 nt
Filed under: uncultured bacterium
Lineage: Bacteria
Description: partial 16S ribosomal RNA
Rfam family: Bacterial small subunit ribosomal RNA
Source: RNAcentral